GAUGAACGCUGGCGGCGUGCCUAAUACAUGCAAGUCGAGCGAAUGGAUUAAGAGCUUGCUCUUAUGAAGUUAGCGGCGGACGGGUGAGUAACACGUGGGUAACCUGCCAAUAAGACUGGGAUAACUCCGGGAAACCGGGGCUAAUACCGGAUAACAUUUUGAACCGCAUGGUUCGAAAUUGAAUGGCGGCUUCGGCUGUCACUUAUGGAUGGACCCGGGUCGCAUUAGCUAGUUGGUGAGGUAACGGCUCACCAAGGCAACGAUGCGGAGCCGACCUGAGAGGGUGAUCGGCCACGCUGGGAUGGAAGCGCGGCCCAGACUCCUACGGGAGACAGCAGUAGGGAAUCUUCCGCAAUGGACGAAAGUCUGACGGAGCAACGCCGCGUGGGUGAUGAAGGCUUUCGGGUCGUAAAACUCUGUUGUUAGGGAAGAACAAGUGCUAGUUGAAUAAGCUGGCACCUUGACGGUACCUAACGAGAAAGCCACGGCUAACUACGUGCCAGCCGCCGCAGUAA
RNAcentral lists this ribosomal RNA (515 nucleotides) under uncultured bacterium. Its description in RNAcentral is "partial 16S ribosomal RNA". It matches the Rfam family "Bacterial small subunit ribosomal RNA", at positions 28 to 523 of the family's 1533-position model. The record is from RNAcentral.